CGAAAGCCUGACGGAGCAAGACCGCGUGAGGGAGGAAGGCUCUUGGGUUGUAAACCUCUUUUCUCAGGGAAGAAGCUCUGACGGUACCUGAGGAAUCAGCCUCGGCUAACUCCGUGCCAGCAGCCGCGGUAAUACGGAGGAUGCAAGCGUUAUCCGGAAUCAUUGGGCGUAAAGCGUCCGCAGGUGGCGUAUCAAGUCUGCUGUCAAAGACUAGAGCUUAACUCCGUUAAGGCAGUGGAAACUGAAUGGCUAGAGUGCCGUAGGGGUAGAGGGAAUUCCCGGUGUAGCGGUGAAAUGCGUAGAGAUCGGGAAGAACAUCGGUGGCGAAAGCGCUCUACUGGACGGCAACUGACACUCAGGGACGAAAGCUAGGGGAGCG
This 379-nucleotide ribosomal RNA is filed under the name uncultured cyanobacterium. Its description in RNAcentral is "bacterial SSU rRNA". It matches the Rfam family "Bacterial small subunit ribosomal RNA", at positions 376 to 770 of the family's 1533-position model. The record is from RNAcentral. Lineage: Bacteria; Bacillati; Cyanobacteriota.